RNAcentral lists this long non-coding RNA (773 nucleotides) under Rattus norvegicus (Norway rat). RNAcentral's name for it is "long non-coding RNA NONRATT027834". The record is from RNAcentral. Lineage: Eukaryota; Metazoa; Chordata; Mammalia; Rodentia; Muridae.
UUUAUGUUUAUGAUAAAUAACAAUGAACAUUUAUUUAUAGAUGUCUCUACAGCAACCCCCCACAUUAAUCUCAUUUUAAGACAACAAAAAACAAUAAAAUGAAGCAUUAUGUUAGUAAGAACUAAAAUGUAAUAUUUUUGUGUGCAUUUAAAAAAAUAAUGUCAAACAUUAAACUCCCAUGUCACCAAAUCUCUGUUCUACAGGGAAAAAAUGAACCCACAUUAGCUGACAACCAUGCUUAGGCAUCGCUGCCCACGGCAGGUGGACCAAAGGCCUCUCUAGUGCGCAUUAGCUGGACAUCCUUGUCAGCCAUGCACGUGUCACAACCCCACACUGCGGAUGCUUCAGCUGUCAACAGCCCAUAGGCUGUUUCGGUCAUUCCGGUGCAGAUGCGAUGAAACCACUUCUGACAAGAGGCCUCACACAGAAUGGCAUCCUGAUCGUCGUUUACUUCAUUUGUACAAAUCCCACACGGGUACACAGGGUCAGAAGAUGAAUGGCCGUGCCGGCUGGGGUGCAGGGAGAACUUGCGGCUUUUGUCAGUGGUGCACAGGUCAGCCGUGCCCCUGGGCUGCCGGGGCUUGUUCUGGGUCCCAUUCGCGUGGUUGUUGGUGGGCUCCGCGCUGCCCGAACGGCUGUUCUCUUGAACGACGUUGUUUCUGUUGACAUUUUUUAACUCGACAUUACUCUGAUUGACUGGAUCCUCCAUAUUUAAAUGAGGUGGGUGAGUGGAAGAAUUCUGAUUCGUGGUUUUGGCUGCCCCUUGCGUAAAG